RNAcentral lists this ribosomal RNA (253 nucleotides) under uncultured bacterium. RNAcentral describes it as "partial 16S ribosomal RNA". It matches the Rfam family "Bacterial small subunit ribosomal RNA", at positions 524 to 776 of the family's 1533-position model. The record is from RNAcentral.
UACGUAGGGUGCGAGCAUUGUCCGGAAUUAUUGGGCGUAAAGAGCUCGUAGGCGGCCUGUCGCGUCGGAUGUGAAAGCCCGGGGCUUAACCCCGGGUCUGCAUUCGAUACGGGCAGGCUGGAGUUCGGUAGGGGAGAUCGGAAUUCCUGGUGUAGCGGUGAAAUGCGCAGAUAUCGGGAAGAACACCCGUGGCGAAGGCGGUUCUCUGGGACGGUACUGACGCUGAGACGCGAAAGCGUGGGGAGCGAACAGG